GCAAGUCUGGUGCCGGCAGCCGCGGUAAUUCCAGCUCCAAUAGCGUAUAUUAAAGUUGUCGCAGUUAAAAAGCUCGUAGUUGAACCUCGGGAUCAAUGGAUCGGUCAUGCCAUCGGUAUGUACUGGUCUCAUUGGUUCUCACCUUCUAAGGAACCAUGAUGUCAUUCAGUUGAUGUUGUGGGGAAUUAGGACUGUUACCUUGAAAAAAUUAGAGUGUUUAAAGCAGGCUAACGCUUGAAUACAUUAGCAUGGAAUAAUGAAAUAGGACAUCGCAUUCUAUUUUGUUGGUUUCUAGGAUCGAUGUAAUGAUUAAUAGGGAUAGUUGGGGGCAUUAGUAUUCAAUUGUCAGAGGUGAAAUUCUUGGAUUUAUUGAAGACUAACUACUGCGAAAGCAUUUGCCAGGGAUGUUUUCAUUAAUCAAGAACGAAAGUUAGGGGAUCGAAGACGAUCAGAUACCGUCGUAGCCUUAACCAUAAACUAUGCCGACUAGGGAUCGGAUGAUGUUGAUUUUUUAAUGACUCAUUCGGCGCCUUACGGGAAAC
Molecule: ribosomal RNA, 542 nt
Filed under: uncultured Glomeromycotina
Lineage: Eukaryota; Fungi; Glomeromycota
Description: SSU rRNA
Rfam family: Eukaryotic small subunit ribosomal RNA
Source: RNAcentral